Molecule: ribosomal RNA, 407 nt
Filed under: uncultured bacterium
Lineage: Bacteria
Also listed under: 2 other names
Description: bacterial SSU rRNA
Rfam family: Bacterial small subunit ribosomal RNA
Source: RNAcentral
UGGGGAAUAUUGGGCAAUGGGCGCAAGCCUGACCCAGCAACGCCGCGUGAAGGAAGAAGGCUUUCGGGUUGUAAACUUCUUUUGUCAGGGACGAAACAAAUGACGGUACCUGACGAAUAAGCCACGGCUAACUACGUGCCAGCAGCCGCGGUAAUACGUAGGUGGCAAGCGUUAUCCGGAUUUACUGGGUGUAAAGGGCGUGUAGGCGGGACUGCAAGUCAGAUGUGAAAAUUAUGGGCUCAACCCAUAACCUGCAUUUGAAACUGUGGUUCUUGAGUGAUGGAGAGGCAGGCGGAAUUCCGUGUGUAGCGGUGAAAUGCGUAGAUAUACGGAGGAACACCAGUGGCGAAGGCGGCCUGCUGGACAUUAACUGACGCUGAGGCGCGAAAGCGUGGGGAGCAAACAGG